This 555-nucleotide long non-coding RNA is filed under the name Rhinopithecus roxellana (golden snub-nosed monkey). Its description in RNAcentral is "lncRNA (ENSRROG00000045920.1)". Lineage: Eukaryota; Metazoa; Chordata; Mammalia; Primates; Cercopithecidae. The record is from RNAcentral.
GGCCAGGACUGCCUCCCUAAACAAGCAAGCAGGGGCGCAUACAGCCCUGGUUUGAGUUGUUGCCCUUAAUCAUCUGGCCACAGCAGGAAUAAGAGGCUCCCGGAAAACCCUGGCUCUUGGCUAUCUCUUCCAUGAGCACACCCUGGCCCUGGGGCCUGAGAUCUCUCCAUGCAGAGGCAGCCAUGAACUGCGGGGGCAGCAGCAAGGCUGGCCACACCACCCACCCCGCCACCUCCGGCCCCGCCGCUCAACCAGCCAUCAGUCCCUUAACUGCGAGUGUUCGUGGACCAUAGAAAACAACCAAAUCCCAGCCAGCCUAGAAGCAGGCUCACAGUUUUCCAUGGAGGGCUUGGAUAGUAAACUGAUCCUGGAUGUUGGCGGCAUAUGCCACCUGAUCUACAUCAGCACCAUGAGGGCCUUUCCAGGAGGAAGAGAAGGGACCCUCUCAGGUCUAACUUCAAAUCAAGCCACUGGGUUGUCUGAGGAAGUAUCCCAAGCAACUAGUCUGGACUGGGAGGUUGAAUUGAGCCCUUGCUGUUGCUGAAGCUGUGAGAA